ACCCCAAAGUCGAGGAAUGUACAGUAACAGAAUGAGAAGCUACAAGCAAGAAAUGGGAAAACUCGAAACAGAUUUUUGGUUAUUGAAGACACAGAGCCAGAAUCAUUUUGGGCUUAAGGAGAAUGUUGGUCUCACUACUCAAAUUGACUGUUUCGUGGGCAGAGGCACUACCUGUAUUCCCAGAAGGACCAUAGAUCAGAGAACAAACUCAGAAUGCAAUACAAUGUCACCUUCUUCAUGUAGCCACUGAAUUUGACUUGGAACUUUAUUAAACAAACUCAUUCUCCUCUGAUAACAUUAA
Galeopterus variegatus (Sunda flying lemur) is the source of this 301-nucleotide long non-coding RNA. RefSeq lists it as uncharacterized. NCBI's taxonomy places the organism in Eukaryota, Metazoa, Chordata, Mammalia, Dermoptera, Cynocephalidae. The transcript has 2 exons. The record is from RefSeq and is a predicted model, not a curated record.